Molecule: long non-coding RNA, 980 nt
Organism: Felis catus (domestic cat)
Lineage: Eukaryota; Metazoa; Chordata; Mammalia; Carnivora; Felidae
Exons: 3
Source: RefSeq, a predicted model, not a curated record
UAUUUAAGAUGGCCUCCACCGUUCUCCCCCUCCCCCUGUGUAUACACCCCGCAUAAUCUCCUCUUCUUGAGUGUGGGUGGACCAGUGAGUUUAGGUUACUCAUCAACUGACUCUGAGUUACUGAAAAGGGAAAACAUCCUGGGUGGGCCUGACCUAAUCAGGUCCAACACUUUAGAAGAAGAACAUUUUAGAAGAAGGGCAAGGGCCAAAGAGAUAGUAUCCUGCUGGACUCAAGGAAUAUAAUAAACUGUCGUGCUGUGAGAAGAGGGAAACACAUGGAAGGAACCACAGGCGGCCUCUAGAAGCUGCAAGCUGUCCCUUGGUCGUAUGGAUACCACAAAAUGAACUCUGUUGACAAGCAGUGAACUUGAAAGGAGACCCCAGCCCACACCUUGAUUUCAGCCUGACUGAGACCCUGAGCAGGGGACCCAGAAUUUUAAAAUAAUGGAAUCUCCUCUGACUAAAGGAACCUCUUCUUCGUCUUCUCCAUUACUGAGCUGCUGAUGUCUCACAUGAUCCUUCCAAACCUGGUUACCUAGUUUCUUAGCCCACAGAAGAUUAGAAACAACUAAUUCGAAGGAGAUGGAGGAGACUCUAGAAAGCGACGUGAUGGCUGGUAACAAAGAAGACAGAAAAAGAACCAGGCUCAUGGAGGCAAAAAUUGUAGUCCCUGCAGACCGUUUGGGGUUUGAUUAGGUGGCCCUGCAUGUAGCAGUGAUCUCCGUUACCCUGGAAAUCGUGUCCCUCACUACGUCUUUGAGUCGUGGAGUUUACUUUGCGUUCAGUGUUUUCCAUUUUAGGAGAGGUAGAUAUAUAACACACUUUGGGAGAGUCCUGGAUAAUGGAAGUAAUACGGUAAAACAAGAAUAGGACAGGGUUUGAAGUAGAACAGGUUUUGUUUUUGUUUUUGUUUUUUUUGUUUUUUUUUGUUUUUUUGCUUCCUGCAGUUUAAUUGAGGUCUAUACCCAGAGAGGGGAAAC